CUAUUAUAUAGAGUAGGUAUAAAAAGGAAUCUAAUCUGUUGUCAUAGUUUACGGUAUGUAUAACAAUAUGAUGAUUGAUAGAUCCGACACGUCGUCUGUUUUCCUAAAACAUGUACGCAAAGUUAACAUCUGCAAGUUCGGCAGUUUCGUAUAUCCGCUUCUAAACGUACAAUGCGUAUGCUAAACAUAUUGCGCGACGAACAAUGGUAUAGGAGGUCAUUGGCGUUGUGGAGAAUACCAAGUAAACUAUCAUAAUACAUUUCUUUUUUUUUUUUUUAAUGUUCAAAUUAAAUAUUAUUCAAAUGAUGUAAAAAGAGCUGAUACUGUCGAUGGGUGUACCACUGCUGUGGACGGGAAUUCGGGAAGGUAUAAUACAUAAGGUUAUUUAGUUUAUAUAUGUAAACAACGAUAAACCAUUGCUAACGAAAAAU
Non-coding RNA from Cinara cedri, 431 nucleotides. The record is from the annotation of a GenBank genome assembly. Lineage: Eukaryota; Metazoa; Arthropoda; Insecta; Hemiptera; Aphididae.